AAGGGCAUCCAUACCACCUGCAGUUCAGGCAAGGCAACCUGGUGGGAUCAUCUGAAAUAGGCUUGGGUCUGGCCAGUGCUUGGAUGGGAGACCAACUACGAAAGCAGGGUUGCUGCUG
RNAcentral lists this ribosomal RNA (118 nucleotides) under Paramormyrops kingsleyae. Lineage: Eukaryota; Metazoa; Chordata; Actinopteri; Osteoglossiformes; Mormyridae. The record is from RNAcentral.